CUGAGGAGCUGUUUAAGAAAACUCUUGGGAAAAGCAAACCAUUUCUUGAAGAGGGGAAUAGGGAGUCCAAGAGCUAUCCGGUCUUGAAUAUGUCAGUGUGCCCUGAAUGUGCAGUCACAUUCUGAGAGACAUUCCAUAAGCGGAUAUCUUUUUAUACUACUUGAGGCACAGUGUCUGACAGAGAUUACUGUAUAACCUGAAGUAUCGGUGUAAAAAGCAAGAAUGUAUACAUGGGAUUUCAUCCAGAGCACUCAGCCAAAAGAAAUACUGAACCACUGCUAAAUCAUCCUAAUGAGUUAAGUAUUGUGUGUGGUGUUGUUAUUUUAAGCAAAUGUAUUCGUAUUUGUUUCUGGAACUAUAAGGGAUCAGUCAAGCAAAUGUUUCCGUGAAGGGAAAAAAAUAUAUGUUCAUAAAACUUAGACUGCCUUAUUUUCUUGGUGGCAAAAUAUUUAAAAUAAUUGUUCAAUGAAAGACUAAACAUUUUCUUGGAAAACUCAUUUAAUUCAAGAAUUAGCCAUAUAGGGUGUCCACUCUACUGUAUAAAAUAAUAAACUUCAUUCUUUCUUUUUCUACUUUACCUUUAAAACAUAGCCACCUUUAUAAAACCCAUAUGUUACACAUAACUAGGCAUUUUCAUUUGAAAACACAACUACAAAGAAUUAGACUUACAGGCCUAAGGAGAGCAUUUGACUGGUUUCCAGUUUAAAUUGUGGGGGGAGGGAGUGGAGACCGGGGGAAAGGUGAGAAGGAAAUGGUACAUAACAACUUAGGCUCAGUUCUUGGUUGCCAAAACAGGGGCUUUCAAUACGAACAAACAAAACUGCCUCAGUCUUUAUGUUCUUCUCCAAUUUUCUGUUGGUAUAGGGAUUAAGUAACUACUGCAGUUCAUACAUGAACGUUUUCCCUCUCAGAUGUGGAACAUCUUCCAGACAGCUUGGCCAGGAACUUUUGAAACAUCUGCUGUUCUCUCUUCUCCCAUCUUCACCUUCCUGUCAUCCAGCCUGUGAUGGGUAUAAUGAUGGGGAAGCAAAAGCGGACCUCUUGCUUCCAGGACUGCAGCCUCUGGAUGAAACAAUGCACAGUCUUGAUAUCAAAAGUCAAGUUUUAUACUCAGAAGACCAUGCCAUUCAGACAUUCUCAGCCUCUUGCAGACAAGUCAAAGGCCACCUGCAAAACUUGACAAUUGGCUGUGUGUUAAGACACGUCAUAAAUCUGCUGAGCUUUGAUAUUUGCAGGACAUAA
This 1242-nucleotide long non-coding RNA is filed under the name Apteryx haastii (Great spotted kiwi). Its description in RNAcentral is "lncRNA (ENSAHAG00000008565.1)". The record is from RNAcentral. Lineage: Eukaryota; Metazoa; Chordata; Aves; Apterygiformes; Apterygidae.